GGGGUGUAGAUGGCAGAGGGCAUCCUCAGAGCUCGUUACAGGAGAGCUCUGCUGUUCCAUUCAGUUCACGCUUCCCAGGCCUCUGUGCAGUGAUGGAGGCCCACGUGGACCAUGGAUGCUGCAGGUUUCCACGGGUUGUGUGAGCCCAUGUCUCAUUCAGCCUCUCUCUCCCUUUUACCUUAGACUGGAGGCUGGCUUCUCAAGGGAAUAUUCUGCUGGUUCCCAAUGAUGCUAAGGAUAUAGAAGUAUUAGCAGCGCUAUUGAGUUUAGUUUCCCAUGUUUAUCGAGAGUUUGACAAUUUUUCUCUUUCAGGUUGAAUAAAUAAAACAGAACGGGGCAAGUCAUAUAUCUCUAUACACUAGGAAAGUGGAGGUAGUCUGAUGAAACUACUGAAAAGUCUGAAGUGUCACAUUUGUGAAGGGAUGAUGUUUUAUGACCCUCUGGUAUGUAGUCUACUCCUCAGUUGUUGCUAAGUAGACGUCUUUCAGAAUCUUUAACAACAAGCGUAUUCGAUAUUUUGUAGUGAUCUUUCCUUUAAUAAAUACGUAUUUUGGAAGCCUCAGAUGCUGGGGCUACAGUGAGGAUGAGACAGAGUCCAUGCUUUCACUGGCCUUCAAGUCUAGGGGAGUGUUCAUUGUUAAAGAAGUGUACACCUCUACAAAGAGAAAUGUGUAAAUUCAGACCGUGACCAGCUCUUCAGUGUUAGGAAGAAAAGAAAAAGAAAGUACGGUGAAGAAUGACUAGACAGUCGGAGAUGGUGUGUACUUUAGGCGGUAACCUCUGAUCCUCGAGCACAGUAAUGAGAAGGAGCCCGUUCUGUAGAGAUUCCAGGGCCGACACAACAGCAAGAGCAAGGCCCUCGGAUGGGCCUGAGCUGGGCCCAUUCAAGGAACAGAAAAAAGACAAAAGCAGCCAGAGCCCAGUGAGUGAAAAAGUGUCUGGCCUUGACGUUGCAGGUGAGCUGAGACUGAGACAUUCAACCCUGUGGCCCCGAUGAAAAGCCCAAAGGUCGCCCUGUGUGGGAUGGACUGCUGCUUUAGGAUCUGUGUGCAUACAGUGUGUUGAAAACACUCAAGUUCAUGUAUGCAGUAUCCCUUGCAUCGUUAAGUUGCUUGGCUAAUCUCUCUUUAUGCAGAGCAUGGAGGGGAAAAAUCAGCAUAUAUUGGAUUUUCACGAGAAUUCUGAGACGAUUCCAGUUGGAAUGAAAUCAAAUGCCAUUCUGUGCCGGACAGCAUUGCAAUGGAUGUCACGGGCAGUUAUCCGCACUGGCUCUUAAUCUCAUUUGGGGUGAGGAAUUUUCCUUGAGCAGUUCAGAAGGGAGCAGCCUUCUCUUGUGUGUAUUCUCUCGCUAUCUGCACUGAGUGCUGAGAUCCCAGAAACCACCCCGAGCCCCAGCAUGUCUGCUUUGUCAUAAACUUCCAAGCGGUGGCUGGGGCUUGCUUUCACAGAAAAUGCAGAUGACGCAUUUGUGUUUGUCGCUUCUAAGCCGGCCUGAGUUAUGCCGCUGCCGGGGGUGGUUGGCGUCAAACCAGCUUCUGAGAUGCUUGUAGCAUCUCUGGUGUUUGGGUCACUCUUUCUCUGUGGGUUCCUGAGCUUACACUGAUAAGUAAAGCCACGUUUGCUUUGUGAAGCUCAGCAGUUCUCAGCAGUAAAGAGAUAAGACAGAGGGAAAAAAAUAAGUAUCUUUGGGAGAAAAGAAGCUAUUUCUGUUUGUAACAGGCCCUAAGUACACUUUUUUGAAGACUUUGUUGAAAUUUCCCAAUCUCACACUGCAUUUACUCGGAUGUCUGCAAUGUCCCAUAAACUUUGACGUUGGACGCAGGGUUUGACUGACCUCUUGUCGCUGGUAGCACCAUUUCAUCUGUCAGAAGCACCAUAUUUUCAGAACGUAAGCUGCAGAAUGUUAGCCAGGAGUGGGGACAUUGAUUUUAGAGAAUUAGGAAAUAAAUGUAAUUCAUGCUCAGUUGGGGAGUGGCUGCAUUUGCUGUCGAGACCCCUGGAUCUAGGAGACCCUCUUUUGAGUUUUCAGGAGUCACUGCCUCCCAAGUCCCGCCAGCUUUGUGCUGGAAAUUUAUUGAAAUCAUCUUUGAUACUCACAGCAACCCAGCGAGUAGGCACAAAUACUCUCCUGGUCUUGCAGAUGAGACAACUAAGCCAUCAAGAGGUUCGGUACUUGCCCAGGCAGAGAGGGGCAGGCAGGCUCUGCCCUGGCCCCGCUGCCUGCUUUGCUUGUGCUCCGAGCUGGGAGCCUUCCUCCUUGAAGCCAGUAUUCAAGGAUCCAGACAAGAUCUUAAUUGGGUCCCAUGAAGUUACCUCUUGUUAAGAAAAUGAUUCGUACCUGGGAGCGAGCACCGGAGAGCGGAGGAUCGAAGCUCUAGAUGGUGUGUAAGUGGCAUUUAAUUUAUCCAGGACAUCAACCAUCCUCAUCCCCAAAGCACUUCUUCCUUGGUCGGAUGGAUUUGUCUCCUCCGCAUCUCUGGAUAUUUCUCCAAAUGAGGCUCAGUCUUUCCCCAGAGUAUAUAGGCCAGCGGGGACCAGCUGUGCAGGGCUCUGCCACCUGCUGUUGCCUCGGUGAGUCAUGCUCACACCCUCCAGUCCCUACAGCUGGGGAAGCGGAGCCUAAGCCUGUUCUUCCAAACCUGUUAUCUUGUUAUUUCCAGUCCUUCCUCCACAGCUCCCCGCACGUGCACCUGCACUUACAUAUGCAAUUGGUCACUGACACACACAUAAUGACACAUAUACAACUACACACACACAUGUCACUGAAACACAUACAUGCACAACCACACAUAAACACAUGUACAGUUAGUCACUGACACAUGCACACACACACUCACACCUGCACACAUCUCUUAAUCUAAGUGCCUUUAAGCUUAAAAAAGAGAUUUGGGAAGUUCCCGUCGUGGUGCAGUGGUUAACGAAUCCGACUAGGAACCAUGAGCUUGCAGGUUCGGUCUCUGCCCUUGCUCAGUGGGUUAACGAUCCGGCGUGGCCGUGAGCUGUGGUAUAGGUCGCAGACGCAGCUCGGAUCCUGCGUUGCUGUGCCUCUGGCAUAGGCUGGUGGCUACAGCUCCGAUUCAACCCCUAGCCUGGGAACCUCCAUAUGCUGCAGGAGCGGCCCAAAGAAAUAGCAAAAAAAAAAAAA
Molecule: long non-coding RNA, 3145 nt
Filed under: Sus scrofa (pig)
Lineage: Eukaryota; Metazoa; Chordata; Mammalia; Artiodactyla; Suidae
Description: lncRNA (ENSSSCG00015062964.1)
Source: RNAcentral